ACGUGACUCCGCAUUUAUAUGCGACACUGUUGCUGCUUAGCUCCGCUCCACAGAAUAGGUUUCUCUACCCUUGGAUACCACACUCAGGCGCCCUCCCGUCAUCAAGUAUUCACUACCCGUGGCCGCCACAAGCGCUGCUUGGGCGGCGGCCGCCCUGCACCAGAAGGGAAAGUAUGUUGUGAUCACGAGAUGCUGUGAGUUUAUCCUCGCCUAGCUGCCCACGGGCACCUGCCCGCACUUGGGAUUCCUGCAGCGACAAGAUGGCGUGCAGAUGGUGUGCUGCCCACUGACUCUUCUAGCGCUGUGGCGCCCCCACCCCCGCCAGCGCUUCUGACCCGCCUGCUUUUUCGGUGAGGGCGGCCGAUCCGGAGCUGCGUCCGGUAUGCGAUGCGAGAGUCGCGGAUUGCUCGAGGCUCGAGGCGCACCUUGUUUCACGCUACGAUGCUGCGCGCACCGGUGUGAUGAUGAACAUGCCAGUUGCGCCGCAUGGCCUUUCCGCGCCGUAUGUGUGUGUGUGUGUGUGUUGUUGCCUCCACCCCUCCCCCCCCCCGUGCCCGUCGGAAGGACACGCUGUGAGCUCUCUGUGCGCGGGGGCAUGUCUGUCGGUGGGUCCCCUCCGCUUGAAACGCCCACGCCUGUGAAUGGCGCGCGGCCUCAGGGGAAGUUGGAGGUGACUGUGCUGUCGCAGACUCGUGGCAUCGCUCGACCUGUCGCGGCGCAUGCGAUGAAGCCACGCGUCUGCCAGGAGAGCAAGAGUGACGGACCGAAAAGAGCGCGAAGGGCACCAUACGAAUCGGCGCCAGGGUGCGUGUGCGCGCAGAGCAUGCGGGGCGUCCCCUGAAUCCGACCCGGGGGGGGGCUGAUAUGAGGGCACGGGUGCCGGAAGCGUGGCGGCAGCGCCCCGAGCUCGAACCAUACUGCGAUGGAGACUGAAAUGGGAAAAGCUUCCACACCAGAUUACGGAACUCCGCGGCGUGAAGCGACUGAGGGCGGAAGGCGACACAGAGGCCGGCUGUGCAGGGUCUCAGAGGACCCGGACCGGAAGCUGGCCUGGCUCCUCCCUGAGCACAUCCGGCGUGCACCUGAACCACCCCUUACUACCCCGCCCCGCAGGCUCCACGGCGUCUUCCGUCGAGCAGCACCCUUCGCCGAAGCCCGCUUGAAUCAAGUCAUGCAUCCCGCAGCCGAGUCCGUGUGGCGACAGCCGCGCGGCACUUAUGCUAGGAGGGGACGAGUAAGAGCGAGAAGAGCCCGCGGGACGCGUGGCCCGAGCCAGCGGCAGACGGUUUCGCCCUAGUCGACCAGAAUUGAGCGGCGGCUUAGCAGCGGAUAGAGAGCUGUGGGUGCGCAUGCGUACAUAUGUCUCGUUGGCGUGUUCGGGGGAGAGGGCUGGAAGUGGGCAGGUUGAUGAUGGACAAUAAAAGGAGAAAAGAUAUCGGUGCUGUAUUGGCCUUUUCGGCGCUCAUAUUUGUCGGUGUGACGGAUAGUUGACAUGACUGGACGCGUAAAGGGUGGAGAAUCAAUGAUAUUUUCGAAAAAAAAAGUAGCUGUCAGCGUAGCUUCUCCUCCCGCACGGAAUAGAUCAUGAGUUUUGCGGCUCUUUCUGGUGGCGAGAUGCUGUGCCUUCGAGGCUAGAGGAUCUCUUUCUAAAGAGGCGGCCUUUCAGUUGACUCGGAGGAAGGAUAGCCGGUGAUCUGCACAACCCCUACCCGCCCCGCUUCUGACCUACGCACGUCUUGAUGCUGUCAUCUCUCUCGGCUCCUCGGCGCUUGUGUGUUAUGCCCGCCGUGCGCCAUCUGCUUCAGUGUCUUAACUGGCAGUAGCACUCGUGUGUCGAU
This 1838-nucleotide unclassified non-coding RNA is filed under the name Leishmania donovani. RNAcentral's name for it is "gene:unknown". Lineage: Eukaryota; Euglenozoa; Kinetoplastea; Trypanosomatida; Trypanosomatidae. The record is from RNAcentral.